GGAGGCGUGGGUGAGAUGGAUUAAACCACGAGAUUGCUAAUUUCGCGAAGGCGCAAGCCUUCCAUCAGUUCGAAUCUGAUCGCCUCCGCCA
RNAcentral lists this transfer RNA (91 nucleotides) under Planctomycetota bacterium. RNAcentral's name for it is "tRNA-Ser". It matches the Rfam family "tRNA". From Rfam's summary of the family: Transfer RNA (tRNA) molecules are approximately 80 nucleotides in length. Their secondary structure includes four short double-helical elements and three loops (D, anti-codon, and T loops). Lineage: Bacteria; Pseudomonadati; Planctomycetota. The record is from RNAcentral.